CACGUAGGCGGAUCAUUAAGUCGGGGGUGAAAUCCUGGAGCUCAACUCCAGAACUGCCUUCGAUACUGAAGAUCUCGAGUCCGGGAGAGGUGAGUGGAACUCCGAGUGUAGAGGUGAAAUUCGUAGAUAUUCGGAAGAACACCAGUGGCGAAGGCGGCUCACUGGCCCGGUACUAACGCUGAGGUGCGAAAGCGUGGGGAGCAAACA
Molecule: ribosomal RNA, 207 nt
Filed under: uncultured bacterium
Lineage: Bacteria
Description: partial 16S ribosomal RNA
Rfam family: Bacterial small subunit ribosomal RNA
Source: RNAcentral